Molecule: long non-coding RNA, 689 nt
Organism: Cynara cardunculus var. scolymus (artichoke)
Lineage: Eukaryota; Viridiplantae; Streptophyta; Magnoliopsida; Asterales; Asteraceae
Exons: 4
Source: RefSeq, a predicted model, not a curated record
AAUGUAUGAUUUUAAAACAUACCAUCUAAUAUAAGUAUUCAUUGUAUGUUAUAUCAAAGUUUUGAAGUUCACAGUAUAGAUAAAAAUAAAUGGUAUAGAUGGAGAUGUGAGGGUAGACGGGGACGAGACAGAGCCCGAAAAAGCCUAGUCAAUACUUGGGUUGCAAAGUUGACAGAAAGAGUACAACUUGUAGUUGUCAGUUGUUGGGUGGAAAGUUAGUCAAUUGGACUAGUAAGAAGCAACACUCGGUGUCCAUCUCAACAACUGAGGCUAAAUAUGUUGCUGAAGUGCCAUUGUUAUUGCCAACAAUCCAGUUCUUCACUCUCGUACAAGCAUAUUGAUAUUCGAUAUCACUUUAUCAUAGAUCAUGUGAUGAAAGAGGAACUAGAGGAACUGGGACUCCAUUGUUUAACCUUUGAAGGGUUAAAAUGUUUUAAAAACUGUGGAUCCAUGAUGGGAUUGAACUGUUGAGGCUGUAGACAACUGUGCUGUGCAUUGAUGGCAGAAAGCAUCAAUUUAUUCUCUGUAUUCUCUUUGUCACAUUCUUGUCUUCGUCUGAAGAAAGACUCAUAAAAGAUGAUAUACUGUGUUUUGGCUGUAUGGGUUGUAUCACCUUUCUUUUUCCUUUAUCUAAUUCGUGUGUUAAGAAAUUAGUGAGUAACUUAACUGCUUCGUUUUCUAUAACAGAU